AUUUGGAUUAAUACCUUAUAGUAAUACGACUUGGCAUCAAGAUGUAUUUAAAGAUUUAUCGGUGAAAGAUGAGCAUGCGUCCCAUUAGCUAGUUGGUAUGGUAACGGCAUACCAAGGCUACGAUGGGUAGGGGUCCUGAGAGGGAGAUCCCCCACACUGGUACUGAGACACGGACCAGACUCCUACGGGAGGCAGCAGUGAGGAAUAUUGGACAAUGGGCGCAAGCCUGAUCCAGCCAUGCCGCGUGCAGGAUGACGGUCCUAUGGAUUGUAAACUGCUUUUAUACAGGAAGAAACACCUCUACGUGUAGAGACUUGACGGUACUGUAAGAAUAAGGAUCGGCUAACUCCGUGCCAGCAGCCGCGGUAAUACGGAGGAUCCAAGCGUUAUCCGGAAUCAUUGGGUUUAAAGGGUCCGUAGGCGGUCAGAUAAGUCAGUGGUGAAAGCCCAUCGCUCAACGGUGGAACGGCCAUUGAUACUGUCUGACUUGAAUUAUUAGGAAGUAACUAGAAUAUGUAGUGUAGCGGUGAAAUGCUUAGAGAUUACAUGGAAUACCAAUUGCGAAGGCAGGUUACUACUAAUAUAUUGACGCUGAUGGACGAAAGCGUGGGUAGCGAACAGGAUUAGAUACCCUGGUAGUCCACGCCGUAAACGAUGGAUACUAGCUGUUGGGAGCAAUCUCAGUGGCUAAGCGAAAGUGAUAAGUAUCCCACCUGGGGAGUA
RNAcentral lists this ribosomal RNA (723 nucleotides) under Flavobacterium degerlachei. RNAcentral describes it as "bacterial SSU rRNA". It matches the Rfam family "Bacterial small subunit ribosomal RNA", at positions 156 to 882 of the family's 1533-position model. The record is from RNAcentral. Lineage: Bacteria; Pseudomonadati; Bacteroidota; Flavobacteriia; Flavobacteriales; Flavobacteriaceae.